GCUGGGAUAGCUUGGCUGGUAGAGUACGAGACUCUUAAUCUCAAGGUUGUGGGUUCAAGCCCCACGUGGGGCA
Podarcis lilfordi (Lilford's wall lizard) is the source of this 73-nucleotide non-coding RNA. The record is from the annotation of a GenBank genome assembly. NCBI's taxonomy places the organism in Eukaryota, Metazoa, Chordata, Lepidosauria, Squamata, Lacertidae.